This 497-nucleotide ribosomal RNA is filed under the name uncultured bacterium. Its description in RNAcentral is "partial 16S ribosomal RNA". It matches the Rfam family "Bacterial small subunit ribosomal RNA", at positions 28 to 507 of the family's 1533-position model. The record is from RNAcentral.
GAUGAACGCUGGCGGCGUGCCUAAUACAUGCAAGUCGAGCGAACAGACGAGGAGCUUGCUCCUCUGACGUUAGCGGCGGACGGGUGAGUAACACGUGGAUAACCUACCUAUAAGACUGGGAUAACUUCGGGAAACCGGAGCUAAUACCGGAUAAUAUAUUGAACCGCAUGGUUCAAUAGAGAAAGACGGUUUUGCUGUCACUUAUAGAUGGAUCCGCGCCGCAUUAGCUAGUUGGUAAGGUAACGGCUUACCAAGGCGACGAUGCGUAGCCGACCUGAGAGGGUGAUCGGCCACACUAGAACUGAGACACGGUCCAGACUCCUACGGGAGGCAGCAGUAGGGAAUCCUCCGCAAUGGGCGAAAGCCUGACGGAGCAACGCCGCGUGAGUGAUGAAGGUCUUCGGAUCGUAAAACUCUGUUAUUAGGGAAGAACAAAUGUGUAAGUAACUAUGCACGUCUUGACGGUACCUAAUCAGAAAGCCACGGCUAACUACGUG